UACGUAGGGGGCAAGCGUUGUCCGGAAUCAUUGGGCGUAAAGCGCGUGUAGGCGGCCCGAUAAGUCCGCUGUGAAAGUCCAGGGCUCAACCCUGGAAUGCCGGUGGAUACUGUCGGGCUCGAGUCCGGAAGAGGCGAGUGGAAUUCCUGGUGUAGCGGUGAAAUGCGCAGAUAUCGGGAGGAACACCAAUGGCGAAGGCAGCUCGCUGGGACGGUACUGACGCUGAGACGCGAAAGCGUGGGGAGCAAACAGG
This 253-nucleotide ribosomal RNA is filed under the name uncultured bacterium. RNAcentral's name for it is "partial 16S ribosomal RNA". It matches the Rfam family "Bacterial small subunit ribosomal RNA", at positions 524 to 776 of the family's 1533-position model. The record is from RNAcentral.